Molecule: non-coding RNA, 75 nt
Organism: Parelaphostrongylus tenuis
Lineage: Eukaryota; Metazoa; Nematoda; Chromadorea; Rhabditida; Metastrongylidae
Source: the annotation of a GenBank genome assembly
GAGUCGGUGGGUGCAACGGUUCAGCACGCGCUCCCCGUAAAGAGUGAGAUCUGGGUUCGAAUCCCGGAUGACGCA